Flavobacteriaceae bacterium TMED179 is the source of this 60-nucleotide non-coding RNA. NCBI's taxonomy places the organism in Bacteria, Pseudomonadati, Bacteroidota, Flavobacteriia, Flavobacteriales, Flavobacteriaceae. The record is from Rfam.
UAUAUUUGCUUUACAUUUAUAAUUUUUUACAUAAAAAUCAUUAAAAUUAAUAUUGGCAUG